UCAUGCCUGGUUGAUGAAUAAUAAUGUUCCCGUCGAAGAUGUUAAAGAGCGUUGGAGAAGAACAGUAAAGUUUCGUCUUGAUAGUAUCAAAGAUCUGCAGAACGAAAGAAAUAAGUUCCAGAAGCUUUUGGAGGUGUGGCCUCGGUUUAAGGAUAGCGAAGGAGCAGUUUAUCUGGACAUUGAUUACAAUGCUCUAACGGACGGAAAAGGAAACGGACUCUUAGUUGGUUGGCCCUCGUUUUCUGAAAAGUUUAUGGAAUACGUCACUGCUAAUGAACCACGGGAGAAAUCUUGCCUAGAAAUUAUUGAUAAACUGCAUCGGACGGACAUUUCAGUGUGCUCUCGUAAUUUUCUCAUCUAUAAAUUGUUCCCCGGUGUCAUCAAACCAAAACGUAUUGGUGGAAGAACCCUUCCUUCAAUUGCACAAGCGCAGUCGGAUUCUCUCAUACACUGUUUAACAGCAAGCGAUAUUGGUCCAACACUUGAAAAGCUGAAAGAGAAGAAAACUUGUUAUCAACCAAGUAUCAUCGUUGUCGGUGCUGAGGAC
This is a long non-coding RNA of Ochlerotatus camptorhynchus, 547 nucleotides long. RefSeq lists it as uncharacterized. NCBI's taxonomy places the organism in Eukaryota, Metazoa, Arthropoda, Insecta, Diptera, Culicidae. The record is from RefSeq and is a predicted model, not a curated record. The transcript is spliced from 3 exons.